GUAAGACGCCAUUGCUAGAUUGCGUUUUCUUGUGUAAAGUCGUGCGUGUGUUCCCGACAUCGGCGUCGGUUAAAAAUCGUUGAUUGAUACACUGUUCCGUAUAGUAACCUUUGGUGAGUGCUACAAAGAGCGCAAGGUGUGUGACCGUAAAGAGUGCGGGUAUCGAUCGAGAGGAAAACUUAAUUAUACACGCUUCGUAAAAUUCGUGCGCCAUUUCGACAAGGUUCUAGAACGAGCCGAAAAUGCCGGGUUUUAGUAGUGUUGGCACAUUUAAAAUCUUCAUCGGUAAUUUAGCCGACAAGACAUCAAACGCUGACAUUAAACCGUUAUUUGAGAAAUACGGAAAGGUCGUAGAGUGCGACGUGGUGAAAAAUUAUGGAUUUGUGCAUAUGGAGAACGAGGAGGCAGGGAGAAAUGCGAUACAGAAUUUGAAUGGACAUAUAGUUCAUAGUCAGCCGAUCAAGUGCGAGGCUGCAAAGAGUCGCAAGGGUCCCAACACUCCUACGACCAAAAUAUUUGUCGGCAACCUUACAGACAACACCAAAGCGCCACAAGUGCGCGAACUUUUCGCCAAAUACGGCACAGUUGUAGAGUGCGAUAUCGUAAGAAAUUAUGGAUUCGUCCAUCUAGAAGCAACAGGUGACGUCAACGACGCCAUCAAGGAGCUGAACGGACAGAUGGUCGAUGGACAGCCGAUGAAGGUUCAAAUCUCCACGAGCAGAGUACGACAGAGGCCAGGAAUGGGUGAUCCCGAGCAAUGCUAUCGAUGCGGUCGCGGCGGCCAUUGGUCCAAGGAAUGCCCGAAAGGAGGAAUGGGAGGAGGACCGGAUAGGAACGGAUACAGAGACCGAAUGUUUGGACGCGACCCGUACCCUCCACCGCCGCCACCACCGUUCCUUCGGGACCGGUUGAUGGGUGGUGGCCGCUUUGGAGAUUACGAAAGCUACUACGACAGGAGGGGCUUCGAGGACACCAGGGACCUCUACGAGAGGCGGUUUACGGGUAUGGGAUCCAUGCGCGACACUGGCUUCUCCCGUGGUAACGAGUACGGAAUGUUCAGCCGCCGAUCACCCCCUCCGAGUGGCAACAACGGCCGGUUCAGUGCACCUCAGGCUGCGUACCAUCUUUGUCCAUGAAUGCGGGCAACCCUAGAGAGACAGUCCCGGGCCAACGUACAAGUCGUGCAAGAUGCCACCCUUGUCUACUUACCUAUCCGCCCUCUUUGUGUCUCACAAGUUGCUCCUCUCUCUUAGUCCGUGUAUCAAAAUCGUUCUGUCUCGACCUCGUGUAACUGACGUGGCUGCUUCAUUUUGGUUACCAGACCGGGAUUACGAGGGCCAUCGCCGUCGCGCCGGUUCGCACCAUACUAAAUCGUCGCGUCGGGCUCGCUCGGAUCGGUCUGUCGGUCUGUCUGUCGUCUGUCGGGUCUGUCUGUCGCUAGCAGGAAGCCUCGGGACCGAGAUACUCUUGGCCGUCUGUCGAUCUGCACGCGCGAAGAUCUACUAUAAUCGGCUGACUCUAACAGAAAAAAAAAAAUAAAAAAAAAAACACAUGUACCAAUCCCUCGCCGUCAGUGCGCAUAUUUUGACGAGAAAAAAAAAAGAAAGAAAAGAAAACAAAAAAAAAACAAAUACAAAAAAAAAUACAUGAAAAGAAACAAACAAACAAAAAAAAUCCGAAAAAGCCAGACGAGAAAAUUAAGCAGCAAACAGAAAACACGAGCCGGAUUUUCGUCGAAUCUUGCAGACCUUGUCUCACACACGUUUCCCCUUCUUCACUCCGGUCCGGUUCUCCCUUGUUCCACGAAGAUAUAUGCACGUCGCUUAUUAUAUUCGUUCCCCGUCGUGUUAGACAGACUUUCCGUAAUUUAACCUCGUAAUCGACGAGACACCGCCGUUUAAUCGUAUGUAGGCGUUUUCUUCGAUGUAAGAAGAUGAUGACGAUAUAGCAUCCUCCUACCGAGUGAAUCUUUCGAACCCUGUACUCGUCAAAAAUAUAUAUAUGUAUAUAUAUGUAAUCGCGUGUCGAUUCACGGCGGUCAGUUUUCCACCGCGAAACGAUAACCGUCGUUUCUCUCGUUUAGAAGGUAAUCGAGGAAUGUAAAGAGCUCGACGAACGUUUCGGUAGGACGAUGCUUGGCGACGCUAAACAACACAACACCGCGUCGACGAUUUCUUGAGAUGACCGUUUCUGUGACGAUGACGCGCGCGCGCGUGCCUGCUUUGCCUUCCAUCCGUGGACACAAUUCACGUGCUUUCUUUUCUCCCCUUGCGAAAACACAGUCGAUCGGGUCGUGUACCUGGAGGAAACGCUCUACUUUCGAUGACCAACGUGAUAGCCGGUAUUGUGUGAAUUUUGUUCAUGUUACGUAUCUGAACGUAUGAGAAUCGUUGUUAGUUACGUUUUUUUUUAUGGAUAUAGAUGGAAAAGAAAGACACCGACCCCUUUUGUGCGAUCGGCUGCGCUUCGUAACGCGUCGCUAUCACAAAAUCGGAGCAUCGUGUGAGAACGAUACCUUUGUUUCACUUCUUAUAAAGCGGAACGUCGCGACGAUGAUUUUCGAGUAGCUAUUCCGUACGGCACGUUUUGCUCAACCAAACGGACUUCCGUGAUGCGUGUGAAAGUAUAAUUGUAAAAAAAAAAAAAAAACCAAAAA
Hylaeus anthracinus is the source of this 2656-nucleotide RNA transcript. It is a transcript of the gene named RNA-binding protein lark, with no coding region annotated. Lineage: Eukaryota; Metazoa; Arthropoda; Insecta; Hymenoptera; Colletidae. The transcript is spliced from 7 exons. The record is from RefSeq and is a predicted model, not a curated record.